This 492-nucleotide ribosomal RNA is filed under the name uncultured bacterium. RNAcentral describes it as "partial 16S ribosomal RNA". It matches the Rfam family "Bacterial small subunit ribosomal RNA", at positions 29 to 507 of the family's 1533-position model. The record is from RNAcentral.
AGUGAACGCUGGCGGUAGGCCUAACACAUGCAGGUCGAACGGCAGCACAGUAAGAGCUUGCUCUUACGGGUGGCGGGUGGCGGACGGGUGAGGAAUACAUCGGAAUCUACUUUUUCGUGGGGGAUAACGUAGGGAAACUUACGCUAAUACCGCAUACGACCUACGGGUGAAAGCAGGGGAUCUUCGGACCUUGCGCGAUUGAAUGAGCCGAUGUCGGAUUAGCUAGUUGGCGGGGUAAAGGCCCACCAAGGCGACGAUCCGUAGCUGGUCUGAGAGGAUGAUCAGCCACACUGGAACUGAGACACGGUCCAGACUCCUACGGGAGGCAGCAGUGGGGAAUAUUGGACAAUGGGCGCAAGCCUGAUCCAGCCAUACCGCGUGGGUGAAGAAGGCCUUCGGGUUGUAAAGCCCUUUUGUUGGGAAAGAAAAGCAGCAGGUUAAUACCCCGCUGUUCUGACGGUACCCAAAGAAUAAGCACCGGCUAACUUCGUG